CACAUUUUUCUGUAGAGAACAGGGAGUUAUCUGAUGUCAUUGAGCUAAUCAGCAUAUGACAACGUGGCAGCAGGGUGCCCUCUGGACUGGGGUCAGAUGAUCCGGAGACAGAGAUAGCAGACCACCGUUAGGGGCCAGGAGGGGAAGAGAGGUGAUUGCCGGAGCUCUAACGGUGUCCAUGAGAACAUCAAGGAAAAGACCGCAGUCAAGACUGUGCGCAGGAAGCAGGGCACGGAUUUCACGGCUGGUAGAAUGUGCCAGGCAGGGUGGAGGGCGAAGACAAGAAGACCUCAGAGCUGCAGAACCGGAGGACUACGUUCAUACGAUUACUGAGCGCAAGCUGUGUUCCCAGGUUCCUGGUCCCCUCCCUUAGGAAGCUCACCAUCUGGUGAGAGGAAGAUAACACUGCACUGUAACUAGCGUGCAGAGGGCACUUGUGCAGUCCAGAUGAGCGGGCCUAACGAGGACUUCACAGGACGGGUACCCAGCUCUGCUUGGAAGAGAGGGGCAGACAGGAGUGUAUUCCAAGUAGAAGUUGCAUUUUGGCACUCUGGGGGAAAGCACGCAAUUCAACAAAAAGAUAUAAAAAGAGAAGACGCUGAGAAAGAACUCUCCAGGAGAAGGAGUCAAAGAUCUUGUAGUGCUGAGGAGAUCAAAAGGAGAGAAGCUCUCGAGAAGGAAGUGCCGUGUCUAAUCCCACAGAAAGUGUGGGGACGCAGCAAGAAGAUUGCCGUCUGCAAACUGCUGGAACUGACAUUUCCAGGUGUAGAUGGCCUCCAUUACAGCGGCUGCUGCUCUCGGGGUGGCAGUAUGAUGAAAUGGGAAGAGCCCCAGCCUUGGAAUCAGACAGACUUGUGCCUGAGGCCCAGCUCCACCACUUGCUAGCCUGGUGACCUUGGUGUCUCAAGAAAGGAAAAAUCUCUCUCAAACUGAAGAGGCUGUGACUGUGUACCUGCUUUGCUCCUCAAUCUCCAGCUUCCCCAAAUAGGGUGGGGCUGGCUCAAAAAGCAGUGGAGACAAAGUUCUGGAGAUGAGUGGCAGUGACAGCUGUACAACAACAUGCAUGUACUUCAUGCCUCAGAGAGGUACACUUGAAAAUGGUUAAAAGGGUAAACUUUACGUUAUGUCCAUUUUAUACCCCCCACCCACCCCCCAAAACUAAGCAGUGGAG
RNAcentral lists this long non-coding RNA (1171 nucleotides) under Equus caballus (horse). Its description in RNAcentral is "lncRNA (ENSECAG00000056842.1)". The record is from RNAcentral. Lineage: Eukaryota; Metazoa; Chordata; Mammalia; Perissodactyla; Equidae.